CCUACGGGAGGCAGCAGUGAGGAAUAUUGGUCAAUGGGCGCGAGCCUGAACCAGCCAAGUCGCGUGAGGGAAGACGGUCCUAUGGAUUGUAACCUCUUUUGUCGGGGAGCAAAAGACUCCACGUGUGGCGUUCCGAGAGUACCCGAAGAAAAAGCAUCGGCUAACUCCGUGCCAGCAGCCGCGGUAAUACGGAGGAUGCGGGCGUUAUCCGGAUUUAUUGGGUUUAAAGGGUGCGCAGGCGGAAGAUCAAGUCAGCGGUAAAUUUGAGAGGCUAAACCUCUUCGAGCAGUUGAAACUGGUUUUCUUGAGUGAGGUAGAGGUGUGCGGAAUGCGUGGUGUAGCGGUGAAAUGCAUAGAUAUCACGCAGAACUCCGAUUGCGAAGGCAGCAUACCGGCGAUCAACUGACGCUCAUGCACGAAAGUGUGGGUAUCGAACAGGAUUAGAUACCCCUGUAGUC
This 458-nucleotide ribosomal RNA is filed under the name uncultured bacterium. RNAcentral's name for it is "partial 16S ribosomal RNA". It matches the Rfam family "Bacterial small subunit ribosomal RNA", at positions 338 to 795 of the family's 1533-position model. The record is from RNAcentral.